UUUUCCUACGGGACGCAGCAGUGGGGAAUAUUGCACAAUGGGGGGAACCCUGAUGCAGCGACGCCGCGUGAAGGAAGAAGUAUUUCGGUAUGUAAACUUCUAUCAGCAGGGAAGAAAAAGGACGGUACCUGACUAAGAAGCCCCGGCUAACUACGUGCCAGCAGCCGCGGUAAUACGUAGGGGGCAAGCGUUAUCCGGAUUUACUGGGUGUAAAGGGAGCGUAGACGGAGGAGCAAGUCUGAUGUGAAAAUCCGGGGCCCAACCCCGGAACUGCAUUGGAAACUGUUUAUCUAGAGUGUCGGAGA
This 305-nucleotide ribosomal RNA is filed under the name uncultured bacterium. RNAcentral's name for it is "bacterial SSU rRNA". It matches the Rfam family "Bacterial small subunit ribosomal RNA", at positions 334 to 655 of the family's 1533-position model. The record is from RNAcentral.